CUACGGGCUGCAGCAGUGGGGAAUUUUGGACAAUGGGCGCAAGCCUGAACCAGCCAUUCCGCGUGAGUGAAGAAGGCCUUCGGGUUGUAAAGCUCUUUCGCAAGGGAAGAAAACUUAUCCUCUAACAUAGGGUGAGGUUGACGGUACCUUGAUAAGAAGCACCGGCUAACUACGUGCCAGCAGCCGCGGUAAUACGUAGGGUGCGAGCGCUAAUCGGAAUUACUGGGCGUAAAGCGUGCGCAGGCUGUUUUGUAAGUCAGAUGUGAAAUCCCCGAGCUCAACUUGGGAACUGCGUUUGAAACUACAAGACUAGAAUAUGUCAGAGGGGGGUAGAAUUCCAUGUGUAGCAGUGAAAUGCGUAGAGAUGUGGAGGAAUACCAAUGGCGAAGGCAGCCCCCUGGGAUAAUAUUGACGCUCAUGCACGAAAGCGUGGGGAGCAAACAGGAUUAGAUACCCCUGUAGUC
RNAcentral lists this ribosomal RNA (464 nucleotides) under uncultured bacterium. Its description in RNAcentral is "partial 16S ribosomal RNA". It matches the Rfam family "Bacterial small subunit ribosomal RNA", at positions 339 to 795 of the family's 1533-position model. The record is from RNAcentral.